GGACCUGCAUGAGCCAAGAACCAAUCACACGCUGUAUCCAGGAGGAACGAAGCUGCUCAGAUCAAGAUGAGGUGUUGCUGAGGAAGGUCUGCUCAGGACCUUUUGGCAGCGCCAGCAGUCGACCCUGGACGUUGGCAGCAAAACAAACUCAACACUUCAUGAGUUUUCAGCACUGCCAAGAACCCAGGGAGCAGAAACAGCAAGCGGUGGGUUACAUCCCAGAACAGAAAGACCGAAUGAACUCUUGGCAAAGUGUGUCCUUAAAGAUUUAGUCUGUUUUGGUUUCAUUUAAAAAUUCCAAAUGAUGAUCUCAUUUAUUAAGGGGUGAAAAAACCCUAUUAAGGAACUCCAUAAUCUAAAAGCUGUUUGUGACACCUUUGGUAGCUACAACUGCUCUUUUCUUUUACUUCAGAGGAAUUGUGGUCUGUUAUCCUUUAUACAAUGAUUUUAUUUGAAAUGCAUUGGUUGGUUUUUGAACAUGAACAGCCCGUUUAAAGUUAUUCUACAACAUCCUAAUCAGAUUAAAUUCCAGACUCCAAAAUCUCCAUUUGCCACUCAGAGAUGGACUUACUAGUGCGCUUUGGAUAAUUGCCCUGUUUCCUGACCCAAACGCCCUUGAGCUGAAGGGCACACCAUAAACUGAUGGCUGUAAAAUAAACACAUACCCUCAUGACUUACAGUUGUAAUUGCCACAAAAGCUGCUUCUAAAAAGUUUUUAACUCAGACAGGAAAAAUACAAAUGCACACCACACUUUUCAGAAUUUUAUUGGUAAAAAAAAAAAAAAAAUAUCUUUCAUUUUACAAUUAUGCACCACUUUUGCUUGGUCAAUCACAUAGAACCCAAUAAAUACAAUGAUGAUCGUGGUUAUAAUGUAAA
Molecule: long non-coding RNA, 877 nt
Organism: Poecilia latipinna (sailfin molly)
Lineage: Eukaryota; Metazoa; Chordata; Actinopteri; Cyprinodontiformes; Poeciliidae
Exons: 2
Source: RefSeq, a predicted model, not a curated record